CACAUGCAAGUCGAACGGUAACAGGAAGCAGCUUGCUGCUUUGCUGACGAGUGGCGGACGGGUGAGUAAUGUCUGGGAAACUGCCUGAUGGAGGGGGAUAACUACUGGAAACGGUGGCUAAUACCGCAUAACGUCGCAAGACCAAAGAGGGGGACCUUCGGGCCUCUUGCCAUCAGAUGUGCCCAGAUGGGAUUAGCUUGUUGGUGAGGUAACGGCUCACCAAGGCGACGAUCCCUAGCUGGUCUGAGAGGAUGACCAGCCACACUGGAACUGAGACACGGUCCAGACUCCUACGGGAGGCAGCAGUGGGGAAUAUUGCACAAUGGGCGCAAGCCUGAUGCAGCCAUGCCGCGUGUAUGAAGAAGGCCUUCGGGUUGUAAAGUACUUUCAGCGGGGAGGAAGGUGUUGUGGUUAAUAACCGCAGCAAUUGACGUUACCCGCAGAAGAAGCACCGGCUAACUCCGUGCCAGCAGCCGCGGUAAUACGGAGGGUGCAAGCGUUAAUCGGAAUUACUGGGCGUAAAGCGCACGCAGGCGGUCUGUCAAGUCGGAUGUGAAAUCCCCGGGCUCAACCUGGGAACUGCAUUCGAAACUGGCAGGCUUGAGUCUUGUAGAGGGGGGUAGAAUUCCAGGUGUAGCGGUGAAAUGCGUAGAGAUCUGGAGGAAUACCGGUGGCGAAGGCGGCCCCCUGGACAAAGACUGACGCUCAGGUGCGAAAGCGUGGGGAGCAAACAGGAUUAGAUACCCUGGUAGUCCACGCCGUAAACGAUGUCUACUUGGAGGUUGUGCCCUUGAGGCGUGGCUUCCGGAGCUAACGCGUUAAGUAGACCGCCUGGGGAGUACGGCCGCAAGGUUAAAACUCAAAUGAAUUGACGGGGGCCCGCACAAGCGGUGGAGCAUGUGGUUUAAUUCGAUGCAACGCGAAGAACCUUACCUGGUCUUGACAUCCACAGAACUUUCCAGAGAUGGAUUGGUGCCUUCGGGAACUGUGAGACAGGUGCUGCAUGGCUGUCGUCAGCUCGUGUUGUGAAAUGUUGGGUUAAGUCCCGCAACGAGCGCAACCCUUAUCCUUUGUUGCCAGCGGUCCGGCCGGGAACUCAAAGGAGACUGCCAGUGAUAAACUGGAGGAAGGUGGGGAUGACGUCAAGUCAUCAUGGCCCUUACGACCAGGGCUACACACGUGCUACAAUGGCGCAUACAAAGAGAAGCGACCUCGCGAGAGUAAGCGGACCUCAUAAAGUGCGUCGUAGUCCGGAUUGGAGUCUGCAACUCGACUCCAUGAAGUCGGAAUCGCUAGUAAUCGUGGAUCAGAAUGCCACGGUGAAUACGUUCCCGGGCCUUGUACACACCGCCCGUCACACCAUGGGAGUGGGUUGCAAAAGAAGUAGGUAGCUUAACCUUCGGGGGGGCGCUUACCACUUUGUGAUUCAUGACUGGGGUGAAGUCGUAACAAGGUA
RNAcentral lists this ribosomal RNA (1456 nucleotides) under Salmonella enterica subsp. enterica serovar Typhi. RNAcentral describes it as "bacterial SSU rRNA". It matches the Rfam family "Bacterial small subunit ribosomal RNA". The record is from RNAcentral. Lineage: Bacteria; Pseudomonadati; Pseudomonadota; Gammaproteobacteria; Enterobacterales; Enterobacteriaceae.